Molecule: ribosomal RNA, 483 nt
Filed under: uncultured bacterium
Lineage: Bacteria
Description: partial 16S ribosomal RNA
Rfam family: Bacterial small subunit ribosomal RNA
Source: RNAcentral
GACGAACGCUGGCGGCGUGCUUAACACAUGCAAGUCGAACGAUGAAAGUGGAGCUUGCUCCGCUGGAUUAGUGGCGAACGGGUGAGUAACACGUGGGCAACCUGCCCCAGACUCUGGGAUAACUCCUCGAAAGAGGUGCUAAUACCGGAUACGAACUCCUUGGGCAUCCUUGGAGUUGGAAAGUUUUUCGGUCUGGGAUGGGGCAGCGGCCUAUCAGCUUGUUGGUGGGGUAGUGGCCCACCAAGGCGACGACGGGUAGCCGGCCGGAGAGGGCGACCGGCCACACUGGGACUGAGACACGGCCCAGACUCCUACGGGAGGCAGCAGUGGGGAAUAUUGCGCAAUGGGCGAAAGCCUGACGCAGCGACGCCGCGUGAGGGAUGACGGCCUUCGGGUUGUAAACCUCUUUCAGCAGGGAAGAAGCGAAAGUGACGGUACCUGCAGAAGAAGCACCGGCUAAAUACGUGCCAGCAGCCGCAGUAA